This 453-nucleotide ribosomal RNA is filed under the name Triticum aestivum (bread wheat). RNAcentral describes it as "partial small subunit ribosomal RNA". The record is from RNAcentral. Lineage: Eukaryota; Viridiplantae; Streptophyta; Magnoliopsida; Poales; Poaceae.
AUGUCAGAGCUGCCGAUGAACCCAAAGGUGAUGAGGAAGCUGCAAGGCAAUAUCACGGCGGCGUUCCGCGGCAAGGAAUUCAUCACUGAGAUUGAUCUUCGGAUGAGCGGAAGCUGCAUCAAGUACCUCGACUUGGUCAUCAAGGAGAUCUUCAAGCUGUACGCAGCAGCUACCAUCUUGGUCCCUUCAGAGUUCAGAGAGCACCAAGGCCUGCGAGAUCAACGGUACUGGGACGACGCUGAGGAGUUCAGGCCGAAGAGGUUCAAGGAGCUCGCAUGGACUUUCAUGGCGUCUACUUUGGGUACACGCCCUUCGGGGCCUCCAGGAUCAGCAGAUGGAGCACUUUUUCCGACGACCAACGCCCCGGCGACCAACGCCCCGGCGCCCCAACGUCUCAUUUAUAUUCAGCACACAGGCUACAUCACGGCUCAUUCCAGCGCACUACAUCAAUAA